Molecule: microRNA precursor, 78 nt
Filed under: Xenopus laevis (African clawed frog)
Lineage: Eukaryota; Metazoa; Chordata; Amphibia; Anura; Pipidae
Description: mir-103/107 microRNA precursor family
Rfam family: mir-103/107 microRNA precursor family
About the family: This family consists of the mammalian microRNA (miRNA) precursors mir-103 and mir107. Animal miRNAs are transcribed as ~70nt precursors and subsequently processed by the Dicer enzyme to give a ~22nt product.
Source: Rfam by way of RNAcentral
CAUUUCGUUCGGCUUCUUUACAGUGCUGCCUUGUUGCAUAUGGAUCAAGCAGCAUUGUACAGGGCUAUGAAGGAUCUG